Molecule: ribosomal RNA, 453 nt
Filed under: Triticum aestivum (bread wheat)
Lineage: Eukaryota; Viridiplantae; Streptophyta; Magnoliopsida; Poales; Poaceae
Description: partial small subunit ribosomal RNA
Source: RNAcentral
AUGGCUUCCUCCAGCGCCUCCAACCCUACCCUCUCUGGCCAAGUCACCGAGCGCCUCACACGCCCCAACUACAUCCUAUGGCGUACCUAGAUCACGCCACAACUCCGUGGUGCUGGUUUCUUCGGGUACGUGGACGGGAGCAUGUCGGAGCCAGCCAAGGUCGUCGUCUCCAAGAACAAGGAUGGCAAGGAGGAGACCACCCCGAAUCCUCUACAUCAACUUUGGAUCAGGGAAGACCAGCAGGUACUGGGUUAUCUUCUGAAUAAUCUGUCCAAAGAAGUACUCGUACAGGUGACUGCGAUCACCCAUGCACAUGAGCUCUGGAUGGCGUUGGCGAGGAUGUUCUUGUUAACCUCGCUGUCCCACAUCAACAACAUCGGUGCCGCCCUCACGAACGCGCAGAAGGGGACGCAAUCGGUCACUACUAGGGAAAAACUUAUACACGGAACUUGA